CAGUCGCCGCGGUAAUACGUAGGUGGCAAGCGUUGUCCGGAAUUAUUGGACGUAAAGGGCUCGCAGGCGGUUUCUUAAGUCUGAUGUGAAAGCCCCCGGCUCAACCGGGGAGGGUCAUUGGAAACUGGGAAACUUGAGUGCAGAAGAGGAGAGCGGAAUUCCACGUGUAGCGGUGAAAUGCGUAGAGAUGUGGAGGAACACCAGUGGCGAAGGCGACUCUCUGGUCUGUAACUGACGCUGAGGAGCGAAAGCGUGGGGAGCGAACAGGAUUAGAUACCCGCGUAGUCCCUGUCUCUUAUAC
This 301-nucleotide ribosomal RNA is filed under the name uncultured bacterium. RNAcentral's name for it is "partial 16S ribosomal RNA". It matches the Rfam family "Bacterial small subunit ribosomal RNA", at positions 509 to 807 of the family's 1533-position model. The record is from RNAcentral.